AGAGUUUGAUCCUGGCUCAGAAUCAACGCUGGCGGCGCGCUUAACACAUGCAAGUCGCACGAGAAAGUGGAGCAAUCCAUGAGUACAGUGGCGUACGGGUGAGUAACACGUGGAUCAUCUACCUCUUAGUGGGGAAUAACCCUGGGAAACCGGGGCUAAUACCGCAUAAGCUCGAGAGAGGAAAGCAGCAAUGCGCUGAGAGAGGAGUCCGCGGCCGAUUAGCUAGUUGGCAGGGUAAACGCCUACCAAGGCAAAGAUCGGUAGCCGGCCUGAGAGGGCACACGGCCACACUGGCACUGAAACACGGGCCAGACUCCUACGGGAGGCAGCAGUGGGGAAUCUUGCACAAUGGGGGAAACCCUGAUGCAGCGACGCCGCGUGAGCGAUGAAGCCCUUCGGGGUGUAAAGCUCUUUCGGCAGGGAAGAUCAUGACGGUACCUGCAGAAGCAGCUGCGGCUAACUACGUGCCAGCAGCCGCGGUAAUACGUAGGCAGCGAGCGUUGUUCGGAGUUACUGGGCGUAAAGGGUGUGUAGGCGGUUGCUUAAGUUUGGUGUGAAAUCUCCCGGCUCAACUGGGAGGGUGCGCCGAAUACUGAGUGACUCGAGUGCGGGAGAGGAGAGUGGAAUUCCUGGUGUAGCGGUGAAAUGCGUAGAUAUCAGGAGGAACACCGGCGGUGUAGACGGCUCUCUGGACCGUAACUGACGCUGAGACACGAAAGCGUGGGUAGCAAACAGGAUUAGAUACCCUGGUAGUCCACGCCCUAAACGAUGCAUAUUUGGUGUGGGUCAUUCAGUUGAUCCGUGCCGGAGCUAACGCGUUAAAUAUGCCGCCUGGGGAGUACAGUCGCAAGGCUGAAACUCAAAGGAAUUGACGGGGGCCCGCACAAGCGGUGGAGCAUGUGGUUCAAUUCGACGCAACGCGAAGAACCUUACCUGGGCUCGAACGGCUGGUUACCGGCGGUGGAAACAU
RNAcentral lists this ribosomal RNA (970 nucleotides) under uncultured bacterium. Its description in RNAcentral is "bacterial SSU rRNA". It matches the Rfam family "Bacterial small subunit ribosomal RNA", at positions 8 to 1009 of the family's 1533-position model. The record is from RNAcentral.